RNAcentral lists this ribosomal RNA (494 nucleotides) under uncultured bacterium. RNAcentral's name for it is "partial 16S ribosomal RNA". It matches the Rfam family "Bacterial small subunit ribosomal RNA", at positions 28 to 507 of the family's 1533-position model. The record is from RNAcentral.
GACGAACGCUGGCGGCGUGCUUAACACAUGCAAGUCGAACGGUGAAGCGCCUUCCUUUUUGGUGGGUGUGGAUGAGUGGCGAACGGGUGAGUAACACGUGGGUAACCUGCCCCCUUCUUCUGGAUAACCGCAUGAAAGUGUGGCUAAUACGGGAUAUUCUGGGUCUGUCGCAUGAUGGGUCUGGGAAAGAUAUUGUUUCGGUGGGGGAUGGGCUCGCGGCCUAUCAGCUUGUUGGUGGGGUGAUGGCCUACCAAGGCGGUGACGGGUAGCCGGCCUGAGAGGGUGGACGGUCACACUGGGACUGCGACACGGCCCAGACUCCUACGGGAGGCAGCAGUGGGGAAUAUUGCACAAUGGGCGCAAGCCUGAUGCAGCGACGCCGCGUGAGGGAUGGAGGCCUUCGGGUUGUGAACCUCUUUCGCCAGUGAAGCAGGCCUGCCUCGUUUGUGGGUGGGUUGACGGUAGCUGGAUAAGAAGCGCCGGCUAACUACGUG